RNAcentral lists this ribosomal RNA (254 nucleotides) under uncultured bacterium. RNAcentral describes it as "partial 16S ribosomal RNA". It matches the Rfam family "Bacterial small subunit ribosomal RNA", at positions 524 to 776 of the family's 1533-position model. The record is from RNAcentral.
UACGUAGGGGGCGAGCGUUGUCCGGAUUUAUUGGGCGUAAAGAGCUCGUAGGCGGUUGGGUAAGUCGGAUGUGAAAACUCAGGGCUCAACUCUGAGACGCCACUCGAUACUGCUCUGACUCGAGUCCGGUAGGGGAGCGUGGAAUUCCCGGUGUAGCGGUGAAAUGCGCAGAUAUCGGGAGGAACACCAGUGGCGAAGGCGGCGCUCUGGGCCGGAACUGACGCUGAGGAGCGAAAGCGUGGGUAGCAAACAGG